RNAcentral lists this long non-coding RNA (1415 nucleotides) under Phoenix dactylifera (date palm). Its description in RNAcentral is "long non-coding RNA (PDAC_LNC013565)". The record is from RNAcentral. Lineage: Eukaryota; Viridiplantae; Streptophyta; Magnoliopsida; Arecales; Arecaceae.
UACAAUGCAGGAUUUUAAGAUUGGUUACUGAAAUUACUCCCAAAUAUGAAAAGUAUUAUGAUACUUAGUCUUCUUUGAACUCCUAGGUUUUAAAUGCUUUGCACAAUUAUUGAUAGCCAUUCUGGUUCCUCAGGAUCGUUCUUAUUUCUUCUGCUGUCAACUUUCAAGCAUCAGUCGCAUAUCUUUUUCCAGAUACACUUGAGCAUGAACUUUUUAUGUUUUAGCAAAUAUGUGGUUUUUAGUAUUUAAAUUUUGUGGCUCUCAUAUUAUUGCAGUACCAAGCAGUAUAAAAAAAUAACUAAAAUUAUCUUCUAAAAAGUUUGUUAAUUAGAGACCUUCUCAGUGGAACCAUGUAGAACACAUCGGUGGGCGUACAUUCGAGCCAAGUGCUUAAAACCAUUUAAACGCGGAGUACUAGUAUGCAAUCCAGUAUGUACUUGACCUAGCCAGCUUGCUGCCAUACCUUCAUCUAAUAUAGAUUUUUCAUGUUUCUUCCCUCCUCUCGAGGGUCAUUUACUUUGCCUAUUACUUCUAAUUUACUGGCAUUGAUCUCUUUAUUGCUGUUUCACAUUUUGCUGUGUCAGUGAUAGAUUGUAUCUAAGCCUUUUAUGCCCUCUGGCUUUGAUGCGCGACUAGCUAAAGUUUGUGCUGCUCCUGCAUUUGUAUACAGUGCUGCUAGCUACUACCAUACCACUACCAGUUUAUUGGAAGGGCACUUAUGGAUUUUGUUUUUUUCCACCAUAUAGAUUAUUUUGUAGCUGUUCAAGCUCAUGGAAGCCCAACAAUUACUGAGCAGCUGCAUGCUUCUUGGAGAAGUGGCGGCUUAUACAAAGCUUGGUAUGAUUCAAUGCAGACUUGGUUAUGUAGGACCAGCUGGGGAUGACCCACAGUGCAUGGAAGGACUUGAAGGGUUUGGAUUAAAAGUCACCUUAUGGUCCUACAAUGGAUAAUAUUGUAGAAAACGUAUUUUUAUCAUAAAGUUAAAGUGCCUUUUUUUUUAGGUUUUUAGAUGAGGUAUUGGUCCAAAGAAUAAUUUUCCAACGGAGAUUUGUCAACUGGUGGUGGUCUGGAGUAAUCGUACUCCUAUUAUCCUAUAAUAAAAGUUCAGAUAUACAUCUUAUAUUUAUGCGGGAAAUAAGAGUUAUAGCGAGUCUUAGGAGAGCGCAAAAAGAGGGUAAUCUCAGUAGAGGUUGAAAUUAAUAGAAGAGAGAGGGGGAGGGAUGCGAGAAGGGUUGAACCCAGGAUAUGCCGUACCGGCCGGUACGAAUCGAUCCAGGAGCAAAACGGUACCGGAUCAGCGUGGGAUCCGGUACUGCAGGUUUAUUUUUGAAAAAUAGACCGGUACGGAUGCCGUACCGGUCGGUACCGUCCCGAUUGGGUUGAUCUACUUUCUCCUGACUAUACUUAUGAUCCGG